UGGACUUCAUCCCACUAUCUUAUGCUGAAGGAAAAAGAGCUACAAAGAAUAAUGAUCCAUGAAUUCUACAGAGGGACACAGUUCCUUGGCUGGACUGCUUUUCCUAUGAGGCAUGUGCAGUCAUCUAACUGCUGUGAGUCAGCUGAAUGUGGUGGAAGCAUAUAUUGUGGGAUGUGCCAUGCUUACCAUGGAAUACAGUGAGCAAAGGAGAGCAAAUAUGAGGGGAGCACAGGUCCCCGAACUGCAGGCACAGGUAAAUGAAGAACAAUGAAGAACUGUUGGAAUGAUUCACCUAAUAAGGGGGAAGAGUGGUUCCAUACUCUCAGGUUGUUUCACGUCUGCUUACAUUAUUCAGAAACAUUUUACAUCUUCACCUUCUAAAUAAGCUGAAGCGGUAU
This is a long non-coding RNA of Harpia harpyja (harpy eagle), 398 nucleotides long. RefSeq lists it as uncharacterized. The transcript has 4 exons. The record is from RefSeq and is a predicted model, not a curated record. NCBI's taxonomy places the organism in Eukaryota, Metazoa, Chordata, Aves, Accipitriformes, Accipitridae.